ACACUCCUACGGGAGGCAGCAGUGGGGAAUUUUGGACAAUGGGCGAAAGCCUGAUCCAGCCAUGCCGCGUGCAGGAUGAAGGCCUUCGGGUUGUAAACUGCUUUUGUACGGAACGAAACGGCCUUUUCUAAUAAAGAGGGCUAAUGACGGUACCGUAAGAAUAAGCACCGGCUAACUACGUGCCAGCAGCCGCGGUAAUACGUAGGGUGCAAGCGUUAAUCGGAAUUACUGGGCGUAAAGCGUGCGCAGGCGGUUAUGUAAGACAGUUGUGAAAUCCCCGGGCUCAACCUGGGAACUGCAUCUGUGACUGCAUAGCUAGAGUACGGUAGAGGGGGAUGGAAUUCCGCGUGUAGCAGUGAAAUGCGUAGAUAUGCGGAGGAACACCGAUGGCGAAGGCAAUCCCCUGGACCUGUACUGACGCUCAUGCACGAAAGCGUGGGGAGCAAACAGGAUUAGAUACCCCUGUAGUCCCAU
RNAcentral lists this ribosomal RNA (474 nucleotides) under uncultured organism. RNAcentral's name for it is "partial 16S ribosomal RNA". It matches the Rfam family "Bacterial small subunit ribosomal RNA", at positions 333 to 798 of the family's 1533-position model. The record is from RNAcentral.